RNAcentral lists this long non-coding RNA (317 nucleotides) under Brassica napus (rape). Its description in RNAcentral is "long non-coding RNA (BNAP_LNC017573)". The record is from RNAcentral. Lineage: Eukaryota; Viridiplantae; Streptophyta; Magnoliopsida; Brassicales; Brassicaceae.
GUUGAUGUUUUAGGGUUUAGGGUUAAUUUAUUAGGGUUUAGGGUUUAGAGUUUACCUUUUAUGGUUUAGGGUUUAGUGUUAAUAGUUUAGGGUUUAGUGUUAAUGGUUUAGGGUUUAGAGUUGAAGUUUAGGGUUUAGAGUUUAGAGUUGAUGUUUUAGGGUUUAGAGUUGAAGGUUUAGGAUUUAUGGUUUAGAAUUGAUGUUUCGGAGUUUAGGGUUUAGAGUUGAAGUUUCAGGGUUUAGGGUUCGUAUUUAAAAAAAAAUAGGGUUUAGGAUUGAUGGUCUAGUGUUCGUAUUUCAAAAAAAACAAGGGUUUA